Molecule: ribosomal RNA, 445 nt
Filed under: uncultured bacterium
Lineage: Bacteria
Description: bacterial SSU rRNA
Rfam family: Bacterial small subunit ribosomal RNA
Source: RNAcentral
GUAAGGAAUAUUGGACAAUGCCCGCAAGGGUGAUCCAGCCAUGCCGCGUGCAGGAAGACGGCCCUAUGGGUUGUAAACUGCUUUUGUACCGGAGAAAACCUCCCCUCGUGAGGGGAGCUGAUAGUAUGGUAAGAAUAAGCAUCGGCUAACUUCGUGCCAGCAGCCGCGGUAAGACGAAGGAUGCAAGCGUUAUCCGGAUUCAUUGGGUUUAAAGGGAGCGUAGGUGGGUUUGUAAGUCAGUGGUGAAAGCCGGUCGCUUAACGAUCGAAUUGCCAUUGAUACUGCAGACCUUGAGUACAGAUGCUGUGGGCGGAAUAUGACAUGUAGUGGUGAAAUACAUAGAGAUGUCAUAGAACACCGAUUGCGAAGGCAGCUCACAAAACUGUAACUGACACUGAGGCUCGAAAGUGCGGGGAUCAAACAGGAUUAGAUACCCUGGUAGUCC